This 374-nucleotide ribosomal RNA is filed under the name uncultured organism. RNAcentral's name for it is "partial 16S ribosomal RNA". It matches the Rfam family "Bacterial small subunit ribosomal RNA", at positions 527 to 896 of the family's 1533-position model. The record is from RNAcentral.
GUAGGUGGCAAGCGUUGUCCGGAAUUAUUGGGCGUAAAGCGCGCGCAGGCGGUUCUUUAAGUCUGAUGUGAAAGCCCACGGCUCAACCGUGGAGGGUCAUCGGAAACUGGAGAACUUGAGUACAGAAGAGGAAAGCGGAAUUCCACGUGUAGCGGUGAAAUGCGUAGAGAUGUGGAGGAACACCAGUGGCGAAGGCGGCUUUCUGGUCUGUAACUGACGCUGAGGCGCGAAAGCGUGGGGAGCAAACAGGGAUUAGAUACCCUGGUAGUCCACGCCGUAAACGAUGAGUGCUAAGUGUUAGGGGGGUUUCCGCCCCCUUAGUGCUGCAGCUAACGCAUUAAGCACUCCGCCUGGGGAGUACGGCCGCAAGGCUG